Molecule: unclassified non-coding RNA, 1860 nt
Filed under: Hevea brasiliensis (rubber tree)
Lineage: Eukaryota; Viridiplantae; Streptophyta; Magnoliopsida; Malpighiales; Euphorbiaceae
Source: RNAcentral
CAAGGGCUUGAACAUAGAAACAAAGAGAGGACCAGCUUUCCACAGGCACCACAUACAUAAACUGGAUUGAAACACAGUUGCAACAAUUGCCUACAAAGAUUUUGCCAGUUGGAGUUAAGUUUAUCUAAGGAAAACAAAAACAUUCUUAUUUUUCAUCAGAUGCUUGAGGUUAUAUCUGCUCGAUUUAACCUCUUUUCUUGUCAGGGUUGCGUACAAUAGUCAACAACAGAUAAACUUCACUAUAUGAAAACCUACAGUUCUGAAAUUAAGAGGACGAUUGUUGUCAUGGUUGGUCUCUACUUACAGAGUAUAAAACAGCAACCAAACCCACAUCAAGCCUUAACUGCCAAUCACUGGCAUCCUCAACUUCUAGCAGACAACAGAAAGCAGACAGAAUGGUACCAAAUAAGCAGGAAUAGAGCAUUAUGGUAAAGACUGCUGGGAAACUUCUGACAGUUAAUGUCUGUAAAAUGUACCAUGCUGAAAUUAUAAAAGCUUCAGCUGCAAGCAAAAAGGCUCCAACUACCCAGAUUGAUUUUGAGAAAAGAAGCUGCUGAAGAGGCCAGAGAGCAAUUGACGAUGUCUUCAAGAGUGAUGGACCCUUGUAAAAUGUCACAACAAAUGCUCCUGCAAUUGAUACUAUGGUUCCCAAGGAUUUAGCUAGGCUGCUUGUGCUUCUCCAAUCUAGUUUUUCCAUCCUAAAUACGCAUUCAAAAAUAUGUGAGCUCACAAAAUAGGUCCAUCGUAUGUAUCCAGUUAAAUGUCUAUAUAGUUGCACUUAAUUACUUCUACACAAAGGAAAUUCAGUUGCAAUGUCAGUAACCUAGCUAUAAUUGUUUUAAUCCUGGCCAGUCUUCUUGCCGUUGAAAAGCAUGCAAUUACAAUCUUCCAGAGUCCUUGAUAGUGACUAAUUUGAGGAUGACAGGAUUAGCUUCAUUUAAUAAGUGCUAUGGAAAAGUUAUUCUAUCCAAGAGUGAAAGUACCAUUUUGUUGCCUAAAUUUGAUUGGAAGAGAAUCCUUAAGCCAAUGGAAAACGCAUGUAUUUUCCCAAUGACCUGUUACCAUAAGAUUCUUCUCCUUACUUUUUUUUUCUUUUUUGGAGUAAAAUCCUUCUUAAAAAAUUGCAAGAAGAAGAAAGAGGAACCUGAAAAUUAUGGCAAGUAUGAAAGUAAAAGCUGGGAUGAGGUUCAGCAUGGCUGUGCCAAGCAUAGGAGAGCUGAAUUCUAUACCAACAUAUGCGAAAAUUUGUGAAAGGACUCUGCAUGGAUAAUAACAGAACAAAAAUAAAACAAAUUCCACACCUCAAUCAAACCUUGGCUUCUUACUUAUUUAAAAAAUAUAAUUACAAGUAGAGAGAAGAAGCCAUAGGCCAACAAUCUCAAUAUGAAUCUAAAGAACAUAAAAAUUUUGCUGCAGAUUUUCAAGUGAAGCGAUUGAAAAUAUAAAAAUUACAAACCCUAAAAGGGCAAGCAAGAAGAUUCUGAAAAGUAUGGAGAAGGUGAGUGACGGCCUCUCUGAUCUGUCAAACCAAAAAAAAAAAAAGUUCAUCUAAACUUUUGACAAAAAAUGGAAAGGAAAAAAAACUAUUAACAUCAAGUGAGAUAAGCUAGAAUCUAGGACCUGUGGAAUAUUAAAGAACAAGGAAGAAGGAUAAGGCUGGAGAGGGCAUUACAGUAGACAAUAAGGACAUACUUGUUCAUCCCUCUGGACAUGGCUACUUUGCAUACUACUAAAUUGCUAACCUGAGCCAGAAUAACCAUUACCAUUCCCAUGAAAGGUAGUGAAGGUCCAAUACUGCAUAACCUCAUAGCCAUCUCCUCCUCCUCUUCCUCCUCUGUCUCUUUCUCUCUCUCUCUCUCU